GCCUUGAUAGCUCAGUUGGCUAGAGCACUCGGUUCAUACCCGAGCGGUCGAUGGUUCGAAUCCAUUUCAAGGCACCA
This 77-nucleotide transfer RNA is filed under the name Psychrilyobacter atlanticus. It matches the Rfam family "tRNA". From Rfam's summary of the family: Transfer RNA (tRNA) molecules are approximately 80 nucleotides in length. Their secondary structure includes four short double-helical elements and three loops (D, anti-codon, and T loops). Lineage: Bacteria; Fusobacteriati; Fusobacteriota; Fusobacteriia; Fusobacteriales; Fusobacteriaceae. RNAcentral also lists the same sequence under 6 other names. The record is from RNAcentral.